GAUGAACGCUGGCGGCGUGCCUAAUACAUGCAAGUCGAGCGAACAGACGAGGAGCUUGCUCCUCUGACGUUAGCGGCGGACGGGUGAGUAACACGUGGAUAACCUACCUAUAAGACUGGGAUAACUUCGGGAAACCGGAGCUAAUACCGGAUAAUAUAUUGAACCGCAUGGUUCAAUAGUGAAAGACGGUUUUGCUGUCACUUAUAGAUGGAUCCGCGCCGCAUUAGCUAGUUGGUAAGGUAACGGCUUACCAAGGCAACGAUGCGUAGCCGACCUGAGAGGGUGAUCGGCCACACUGGAACUGAGACACGGUCCAGACUCCUACGGGAGGCAGCAGUAGGGAAUCUCCGCAAUGGGCGAAAGCCUGACGGAGCAACGCCGCGUGAAUGAUGAAGGUCUUCGGAUCGUAAAACUCUGUUAUUAGGGAAGAACAAAUGUGUAAGUAACUAUGCACGUCUUGACGGUACCUAAUCAGAAAGCCACGGCUAACUACGUG
This 496-nucleotide ribosomal RNA is filed under the name uncultured bacterium. RNAcentral's name for it is "partial 16S ribosomal RNA". It matches the Rfam family "Bacterial small subunit ribosomal RNA", at positions 28 to 507 of the family's 1533-position model. The record is from RNAcentral.